Molecule: ribosomal RNA, 466 nt
Filed under: uncultured bacterium
Lineage: Bacteria
Description: partial 16S ribosomal RNA
Rfam family: Bacterial small subunit ribosomal RNA
Source: RNAcentral
CGAACGCUGGCGGCGUGCUUAGCACAUGCAAGUCGAACGGAAAGGCCCUGCUUUUGUGGGGUGCUCGAGUGGCGAACGGGUGAGUAACACGUGAGUAACCUGCCCUUGACUUUGGGACAACUUCAGGAAACUGGGGCUAAUACCGGAUAGGAGCUCCUGCUGCAUGGUGGGGGUUGGAAAGUUUCGGCGGUUGGGGAUGGACUCGCGGCUUAUCAGCUUGUUGGUGGGGUAGUGGCUUACCAAGGCUUUGACGGGUAGCCGGCCUGAGAGGGUGACCGGCCACAUUGGGACUGAGAUACGGCCCAGACUCCUACGGGAGGCAGCAGUGGGGAAUAUUGCACAAUGGGCGGAAGCCUGAUGCAGCAACGCCGCGUGCGGGAUGACGGCCUUCGGGUUGUAAACCGCUUUCGCCUGUGACGAAGCGUGAGUGACGGUAAUGGGUAAAGAAGCACCGGCUAACUACGUG